RNAcentral lists this unclassified non-coding RNA (374 nucleotides) under soil metagenome. RNAcentral describes it as "partial internal transcribed spacer 1". The stretch from base 1 to 120 matches the Rfam family "5.8S ribosomal RNA", at positions 35 to 154 of the family's 154-position model. The record is from RNAcentral.
GAUGAAGAACGCAGUGAAAUGCGAUAAUUAAUGUGAAUUGCAGAAUUCCGUGAAUCAUCGAGUCUUUGAACGCACAUUGCGCCUCAUGGCAUUCCGUGAGGCAUGCCCAUCUCAGCGUUAGAAAAUAUUCUCAAAUUUUAGUUUUGUGCUAAAAUUUGGAUCAUGUCAAAGAAGCUAUUACUAUUAUUGUGAUCGCUCUUUGGAAAUUGAUAGGUCUUUGAGUUGCUACUCAUAGAACGUGAUGAAUCUUUCUUCGUUCUAUUGUAAUUCACUCUGGUAGUCCUAAAACUUGUAUGCCUGUGGCAUAUCUUGUAAUUUGACCUGAGAUUGGGUAGGGAUACCCACUGAACUUAAGCAUAUCAAUAAGCGGAGGA